CAAGGGCGAGGAAUACUUGGAUAACGUACCCCGGGCACAGGGAUAGCCGUGGGAAACCGCGGAUAAUACCUGAUGAGACCACAGUACCUACGGGCACAGUGGUCAAAGGGUGGGGACCUUCGGGCCUACCGGCCUGGGAGCGGUCCAAGUCCUAUCAGCUUGUUGGUGAGGUAAUGGCUCACCAAGGCAACGACGGGUACCGGGACUGAGAGGUUGACCCGGCGCAUUGGGACUGAGACACUGCCCAGACUCCUACGGGAGGCUGCAGCAACGAAUAUUCCGCAAUGGGCGAAAGCCUGACGGAGCGACGCCGCGUGUAGGAUGAAGUCCCUCGGGAUGUAAACUACUGUCAGGGACCACCAAGCGACCCGGGUAAAUAAUCCGGGAAGUUGAGGAAUCCCAGAGGAAGUCACGGCUAACUUCGUGCCAGCAGCCGCGGUAAGACGAAGGUGGCAAGCGUUGUUCGGAAUCACUGGGCUUAAAGAGCACGUAGGCGGACUGUCAAGCGUCUUGUGAAAGCCCUCGGCUUAACCGGGGAAUUGCUUGGCGAACUGGCAGUCUUGAGGCAGGUAGGGGCAACUGGAACUCUUGGUGGAGCGGUGGAAUGCGUAGAUAUCAAGAGGAACGCCAGAGGCGAAGGCGAGUUGCUGGGCCUGUCCUGACGCUGAGGUGCGAAAGCCAGGGGAGCGAACGGGAUUAGAUACCCCGGUAGUCCUGGCCCUAAACGAUGUCUACUAGGUCGAGGAUUCUCUGACGGAUUCUUGGCCGAAAUGAAAACGAUAAGUAGACCGCCUGGGGAGUACGGUCGCAAGGCUAAAACUCAAAGGAAUUGACGGGGGCUCACACAAGCGGUGGAGCAUGUUGCUUAAUUCGAUGCAACGCGAAGAACCUUAUCCUGGGCUUGACAUGAUUGGAUGCCCUCUGGGAAACCAGAGUAAGCUGCCCUUCGGGGUGAAACUUUCACAGGUGCUGCAUGGCUGUCGUCAGCUCGUGUCGUGAGAUGUUGGGUUAAGUCCCGUAACGAGCGAAACCCUGUCGGUACUCGCGGGCGCGUAAUGACGGGGAGUCUAGCAAGACGACCGGUGUCAAACCGGAUGAAGGUGGGGAUGACGUCAAGUCCUCAUGUCCUUUAUACC
This 1136-nucleotide ribosomal RNA is filed under the name uncultured organism. Its description in RNAcentral is "bacterial SSU rRNA". It matches the Rfam family "Bacterial small subunit ribosomal RNA", at positions 100 to 1208 of the family's 1533-position model. The record is from RNAcentral.